GGGAUAGAAUUCCAGGAGUAGCGGUGAAAUGCGUAGAUAUCUGGAGGAAUACCAAAGGCGAAGGCAGUCCCCUGGUCCGAUACUGACACUGAGGUACGAAAGCGUGGGGAGCAAACAGGAUUAGAUACCCUGGUAGUCCACGCCCUAAACGAUGUCGAUUAGCCAUUGGAAGGACCCCUUUUCCUUUCAGUGACGUAGCUAACGCGUUAAAUCGACCGCCUGGGAAGUACGACCGCAAGGUUAAAACUCAAAGGAAUUGACGGGGACCUGAACAAGCGGUGAAUGAUGUGGAUUAAUUCGAUGCUACGCGAAGAACCUUACCUACGUUUGACAUGGCCAAAGUUCUACCGAGAGGCGGAAGUACUCGUAAGAGGAUUGGCGCACAGGUGCUGCAUGGUUGUCGUCAGUUCGUGUCGUGAGAUGUUGGGUUCAGUCCCGCAACGAACGCAACCCUUAUCUUUAAUUGCUCCUAUUUUAACAGGCACUUUAAAGAAACUGCCAAUGAUAAGUUGGAGGAAGGUGGGGAUCACGUCAAGUCCGCAUGGCCUUUAUAGGUAGGGCUUCACACGUCAUACAAUGGUUAGAACAAAGAGCUGCAAAUUCGUAAGAAGGAGCCAAUCUCACAAACCUAACCUCAGUUCGAAUUGCGGUCUGCAACUCGAGCGCAUGAAGCCGGAAUCGCUAGUAAUCGUGGAUCAGAAUGCCACGGUGAAUACGUUCUUAGGUCUU
This 729-nucleotide ribosomal RNA is filed under the name Candidatus Tremblayella phenacoccinincola. Its description in RNAcentral is "bacterial SSU rRNA". It matches the Rfam family "Bacterial small subunit ribosomal RNA", at positions 658 to 1382 of the family's 1533-position model. Lineage: Bacteria; Pseudomonadati; Pseudomonadota; Betaproteobacteria. The record is from RNAcentral.